RNAcentral lists this ribosomal RNA (1173 nucleotides) under uncultured Bacteroides sp. Its description in RNAcentral is "bacterial SSU rRNA". It matches the Rfam family "Bacterial small subunit ribosomal RNA", at positions 10 to 1177 of the family's 1533-position model. The record is from RNAcentral. Lineage: Bacteria; Pseudomonadati; Bacteroidota; Bacteroidia; Bacteroidales; Bacteroidaceae.
AGUUUGAUCCUGGCUCAGGAUGAACGCUAGCUACGGGCUUAACACAUGCAAGUCGAGGGGCAGCAUUUUAGUUUGCUUGCAAACUGAAGAUGGCGACCGGCGCACGGGUGAGUAACACGUAUCCAACCUGCCGAUAACUCCGGGAUAGCCUUUCGAAAGAAAGAUUAAUACCGGAUGGCAUACGAAUAUCGCAUGAUAUUUUUAUUAAAGAAUUUCGGUUAUCGAUGGGGAUGCGUUCCAUUAGUUUGUUGGCGGGGUAACGGCCCACCAAGACUACGAUGGAUAGGGGUUCUGAGAGGAAGGUCCCCCACAUUGGAACUGAGACACGGUCCAAACUCCUACGGGAGGCAGCAGUGAGGAAUAUUGGUCAAUGGGCGAGAGCCUGAACCAGUCAAGUAGCGUGAAGGAUGAAGGCUCUAUGGGUCGUAAACUUCUUUUAUAUGGGAAUAAAGUUUUCCACGUGUGGAAUUUUGUAUGUACCAUAUGAAUAAGGAUCGGCUAACUCCGUGCCAGCAGCCGCGGUAAUACGGAGGAUCCGAGCGUUAUCCGGAUUUAUUGGGUUUAAAGGGAGCGUAGGUGGAUUGUUAAGUCAGUUGUGAAAGUUUGCGGCUCAACCGUAAAAUUGCAGUUGAAACUGGGAGUCUUGAGUACAGUAGAGGUGGGCGGAAUUCGUGGUGUAGCGGUGAAAUGCUUAGAUAUCACGAAGAACUCCGAUUGCGAAGGCAGCUCACUAGACUGUCACUGACACUGAUGCUCGAAAGUGUGGGUAUCAAACAGGAUUAGAUACCCUGGUAGUCCACACAGUAAACGAUGAAUACUCGCUGUUUGCGAUAUACAGUAAGCGGCCAAGCGAAAGCAUUAGGUAUUCCACCUGGGGAGUACGCCGGCAACGGUGAAACUCAAAGGAAUUGACGGGGGCCCGCACAAGCGGAGGAACAUGUGGUUUAAUUCGAUGAUACGCGAGGAACCUUACCCGGGCUUAAAUUGCGACAGAAUAUAUUGGAAACAGUAUAGCCGUAAGGCUGUUGUGAAGGUGCUGCAUGGUUGUCGUCAGCUCGUGCCGUGAGGUGUCGGCUUAAGUGCCAUAACGAGCGCAACCCUUAUCUUUAGUUACUAACAGGUCAUGCUGAGGACUCUAGAGAGACUGCCGUCGUAAGAUGUGAGGAAGGUGGA